CGGAGGGAUCAUUACCGAGUUUACAACUCCCAAACCCCUGUGAACAUACCUAUACGUUGCCUCGGCGGAUCAGCCCGCGCCCCGUAAAACGGGACGGCCCGCCCGAGGACCCCUAAACUCUGUUUUUAGUGGAACUUCUGAGUAAAACAAACAAAUAAAUCAAAACUUUCAACAACGGAUCUCUUGGUUCUGGCAUCGAUGAAGAACGCAGCAAAAUGCGAUAAGUAAUGUGAAUUGCAGAAUUCAGUGAAUCAUCGAAUCUUUGAACGCACAUUGCGCCCGCCAGUAUUCUGGCGGGCAUGCCUGUUCGAGCGUCAUUUCAACCCUCAAGCUCAGCUUGGUGUUGGGACUCGCGGUAACCCGCGUUCCCCAAAUCGAUUGGCGGUCACGUCGAGCUUCCAUAGCGUAGUAAUCAUACACCUCGUUACUGGUAAUCGUCGCGGCCACGCCGUAAAACCCCAACUUCUGAAUGUUGACCUCGGAUCAGGUAGGAAUACCCGCUGAACUUAAGCAU
This 514-nucleotide ribosomal RNA is filed under the name Fusarium equiseti. RNAcentral's name for it is "eukaryotic LSU rRNA". The stretch from base 164 to 317 matches the Rfam family "5.8S ribosomal RNA". The record is from RNAcentral. Lineage: Eukaryota; Fungi; Ascomycota; Sordariomycetes; Hypocreales; Nectriaceae.